RNAcentral lists this ribosomal RNA (496 nucleotides) under uncultured bacterium. RNAcentral describes it as "partial 16S ribosomal RNA". It matches the Rfam family "Bacterial small subunit ribosomal RNA", at positions 28 to 506 of the family's 1533-position model. The record is from RNAcentral.
GAUGAACGCUGGCGGCGUGCCUAAUACAUGCAAGUCGAGCGAACAGACGAGGAGCUUGCUCCUCUGACGUUAGCGGCGGACGGGUGAGUAACACGUGGAUAACCUACCUAUAAGACUGGGAUAACUUCGGGAAACCGGAGCUAAUACCGGAUAAUAUAUUGAACCGCAUGGUUCAAUAGUGAAAGACGGUUUUGCUGUCACUUAUAGAUGGAUCCGCGCCGCAUUAGCUAGUUGGUAAGGUAACGGCUUACCAAGGCAACGAUGCGUAGCCGACCUGAGAGGGGGACGGGCAACCUGGGACUUGAGCAACGGCCCAGACCCCUAGGGAAGGCACAGGUGGGAAACCUUCCGAAUGGGGGGAAAGCCGGACGGACAAACGCGGGGUGAGGAAGGAAGGCUUCCGGAUCGAAAAACCCUGUUAUUAGGGAAGAACAAAUGUGUAAGUAACUAUGAAGGUUUGGACGGAACCAAACAAGAAGGCAACGGCUAAUUACGG